RNAcentral lists this ribosomal RNA (1677 nucleotides) under Escherichia coli UMEA 3317-1. Its description in RNAcentral is "bacterial LSU rRNA". It matches the Rfam family "Bacterial large subunit ribosomal RNA", at positions 1270 to 2925 of the family's 2925-position model. The record is from RNAcentral. Lineage: Bacteria; Pseudomonadati; Pseudomonadota; Gammaproteobacteria; Enterobacterales; Enterobacteriaceae.
AUGCUGGAGGUAUCAGAAGUGCGAAUGCUGACAUAAGUAACGAUAAAGCGGGUGAAAAGCCCGCUCGCCGGAAGACCAAGGGUUCCUGUCCAACGUUAAUCGGGGCAGGGUGAGUCGACCCCUAAGGCGAGGCCGAAAGGCGUAGUCGAUGGGAAACAGGUUAAUAUUCCUGUACUUGGUGUUACUGCGAAGGGGGGACGGAGAAGGCUAUGUUGGCCGGGCGACGGUUGUCCCGGUUUAAGCGUGUAGGCUGGUUUUCCAGGCAAAUCCGGAAAAUCAAGGCUGAGGCGUGAUGACGAGGCACUACGGUGCUGAAGCAACAAAUGCCCUGCUUCCAGGAAAAGCCUCUAAGCAUCAGGUAACAUCAAAUCGUACCCCAAACCGACACAGGUGGUCAGGUAGAGAAUACCAAGGCGCUUGAGAGAACUCGGGUGAAGGAACUAGGCAAAAUGGUGCCGUAACUUCGGGAGAAGGCACGCUGAUAUGUAGGUGAGGUCCCUCGCGGAUGGAGCUGAAAUCAGUCGAAGAUACCAGCUGGCUGCAACUGUUUAUUAAAAACACAGCACUGUGCAAACACGAAAGUGGACGUAUACGGUGUGACGCCUGCCCGGUGCCGGAAGGUUAAUUGAUGGGGUUAGCCGCAAGGCGAAGCUCUUGAUCGAAGCCCCGGUAAACGGCGGCCGUAACUAUAACGGUCCUAAGGUAGCGAAAUUCCUUGUCGGGUAAGUUCCGACCUGCACGAAUGGCGUAAUGAUGGCCAGGCUGUCUCCACCCGAGACUCAGUGAAAUUGAACUCGCUGUGAAGAUGCAGUGUACCCGCGGCAAGACGGAAAGACCCCGUGAACCUUUACUAUAGCUUGACACUGAACAUUGAGCCUUGAUGUGUAGGAUAGGUGGGAGGCUUUGAAGUGUGGACGCCAGUCUGCAUGGAGCCGACCUUGAAAUACCACCCUUUAAUGUUUGAUGUUCUAACGUUGACCCGUAAUCCGGGUUGCGGACAGUGUCUGGUGGGUAGUUUGACUGGGGCGGUCUCCUCCUAAAGAGUAACGGAGGAGCACGAAGGUUGGCUAAUCCUGGUCGGACAUCAGGAGGUUAGUGCAAUGGCAUAAGCCAGCUUGACUGCGAGCGUGACGGCGCGAGCAGGUGCGAAAGCAGGUCAUAGUGAUCCGGUGGUUCUGAAUGGAAGGGCCAUCGCUCAACGGAUAAAAGGUACUCCGGGGAUAACAGGCUGAUACCGCCCAAGAGUUCAUAUCGACGGCGGUGUUUGGCACCUCGAUGUCGGCUCAUCACAUCCUGGGGCUGAAGUAGGUCCCAAGGGUAUGGCUGUUCGCCAUUUAAAGUGGUACGCGAGCUGGGUUUAGAACGUCGUGAGACAGUUCGGUCCCUAUCUGCCGUGGGCGCUGGAGAACUGAGGGGGGCUGCUCCUAGUACGAGAGGACCGGAGUGGACGCAUCACUGGUGUUCGGGUUGUCAUGCCAAUGGCACUGCCCGGUAGCUAAAUGCGGAAGAGAUAAGUGCUGAAAGCAUCUAAGCACGAAACUUGCCCCGAGAUGAGUUCUCCCUGACCCUUUAAGGGUCCUGAAGGAACGUUGAAGACGACGACGUUGAUAGGCCGGGUGUGUAAGCGCAGCGAUGCGUUGAGCUAACCGGUACUAAUGAACCGUGAGGCUUAACCUU